Molecule: transfer RNA, 85 nt
Filed under: Felis catus (domestic cat)
Lineage: Eukaryota; Metazoa; Chordata; Mammalia; Carnivora; Felidae
Also listed under: 2 other names
Rfam family: tRNA
About the family: Transfer RNA (tRNA) molecules are approximately 80 nucleotides in length. Their secondary structure includes four short double-helical elements and three loops (D, anti-codon, and T loops). Further hydrogen bonds mediate the characteristic L-shaped molecular structure. tRNAs have two regions of fundamental functional importance: the anti-codon, which is responsible for specific mRNA codon recognition, and the 3' end, to which the tRNAs corresponding amino acid is attached (by aminoacyl-tRNA synthetases). tRNAs cope with the degeneracy of the genetic code in two manners: having more than one tRNA (with a specific anti-codon) for a particular amino acid; and 'wobble' base-pairing, i.e. permitting non-standard base-pairing at the 3rd anti-codon position.
Source: Rfam by way of RNAcentral
GCCUGGGUGGCUCAGUCGGUUGAGCAUCCGACUUCGACUCAGGUCAUGAUCUCACGGUUCGUGAGUUCGAGCCCCACAUCGGGCU